CUGCUCGCACUCUUCCUCUCUCUCUCAAAAUAAAUAAGUAAACAUUAAAAAAAAAAAAAAAAGGAAAACUAAAGUUCAGAGAGGUAAAGAAAGGUCAGUGGCAGAACUGGACUUUGAACCCAGGAAUUGGGCACUGAGUUCAAUGUUCUUUCCACUAGAUGUGAGGGGAGAGAGGAAGGACGAAGUUGUAUGAACAUUUCUACUGCAGAAAUGGGAGAUGGAGAGGAGCUCACUAUGAUCCUGAUAACCAGAGGCUGGGUGAUGGCCCAUAGGAAGGAAAUUCCAAGGGUCUUGAAAGCUGUGAGCCACAAACCACGGAUGAAGAUCAAAUUUAUAUGAGAAAUAUAUUUUGGCCAUCUGCAUGACUGGCUAUACGUAAUCUUCUAAAUCACAACAAUAAUGCAAAAAGAAGGAAGGAGUGAAUGGAGCUAACGUGUUCUAAUUAUGCAUUAAAACCAAUAAUUUGUAUUAGACUUCUGCUAUGGCUGCAUAACAAACUGUCCAAAGAAUUAGCAACUUAAAACAACCUUCACUGCAUUAUGCGUACAGAUUCUGUGAGCCAGGAAUCUGGAGCAGGCACAGUGGGAAUGACUUGUUUCUGUUCAUCUAUGAUGUCCGAAACCUCAGUCUGAAAGAUUCAAAGGCCGAGGGACUGGAAGAAUCUGGAAGUGCCUGAUGGCUCAGAGACAAGCGCUGUUGUCCAGAGCGUCCUCACAUGGCUUUUCUGUGUGGCUUGGCUUCUGCAAAGUACAGCAGCUUCGAGGGAGUAGGAUUUACUACAUGACAGCUCAGCGCUGCAAGCAUGAAUGUUCCAAAGAAGAAGGCAGAAGCUGCGUCAUCUUUUAUUACCCAGCUUCAAAAGGGACACAGCAUCCCUUCUGCCAUACUCUUCAGCCAGAGCAGUAACAUGCUCUCCUAGAUCCAAGAGGCGGGAAAUCAGACCCUGAUUCCUAACAGAAGAAUGGUGAGACCAGUUGUAGAUUACACGUGUUUUCAGAGAUAUUGUUGCAGUAGCUUUGGAAAAAACAGCCUCCCACACUAGCCAUCUGUUUGGGGUGAUGAAAUAUUUGGAGUAGGCAGUGAUAAUGGUUGUGUAACAAUGCGCGUGUAAUUAAUGCUACUGGGUUGUACAUUUAAAAUGACUAAAAUGGCAAAUUUUAUGUUACAUAUAUUUUACCACCAUAAAAAAUUAGAGAGGGAGGAAGAGAAGGAGAGAAAGAAGGAAAGGAAAAAGAGACAGAUAGCAGGAGACCCAGACCAGCCCAGGGCUGAAAUAGGUAGGAGUUAGGUGGGAAAUUAGGCAUGGCAUUCCAGAGAGGAAAGCUGGAUUCUGUGUCCAUGCCCCUAACUGUGCAUAUAAUUUGUACCCUGCCCCCUCCAAGAUUCCUCAAUCUAGAAGCUUGUUAGAGGGUUUGUAGAGAGUUUGAAGGAUAGUAGAAGGUUUGGCUGGACCCAUGACAAAGUGUACUCACUAGAGUAAAUGAGAGGUUAAGAAUAAAACCAAAGGGGACGACUGGGUGGCUCAGUCAGUUAAGUGUCUGACUCUUGAUUUUGGCUCAGGUCAUGAUCUCACAGUUCAUGAGUUCAAGACUCGCAUCAAGCUCAGCACUGACAGUAUGGAGCCUGCUUGGGAUUCUCUUUCCCUCUCUCUUGCCUCUUCUCUCUUUCUCUCUCUCAGUAAACAAAGUUAAAAAAAAAAGAAGAAGAAGAAGAAGAAGAAAACCAAAGGACCAACUUCCAUUUUCAAACCCACAAACCCACAAUUUCAACAAAAGGCUUAUGGGACCAACCUUGGAAGACUAACUUACAAUUCUAACAACAUUACUGAGUUUCUCGGAACCAAGCUUCAGAGAAUAGUGCCAUUUUGCUGGGGAGCGAAUGUCUUGGGUGGCAGAAUCACCAGCAUAGUCCCUGGAGAGGUGCGAUGCCUGAAUGAUAUUGUGUGGAUGGAUAAUUGUAUAACAAGGAUGUGUAAGGGUUAAAUUGUAGUGUAGGGCUAACGCUCAGCUUGAAAAAUAACAACUUUGUUCUGACACUGAAGAUCAAAAGAUAACAGCCUUGCUUUUACUCUUGUAAAUCAUACUUCAUACUCUUGUGAAUCAGGCUUUACCAAUGAAGGAAACAAAAGCUCAAAAAAAGAGCAUCAGAGACAAGGUCAAGGAGACCCACUGGUUGCAACUUAGCUGCAGAAAGUCUAAAAUAAUCACCUCAUUUGAUAACUGUUUCUGACUCAUCUGGCAACUGUUUCUAACUCAUCUGGGAACUGUUUCUCUGUUCUGUUCCCAGGUAAUGAUAAAACGAUGUGAUCGGCUUUAAAAACUCUGUACCCUGGCUGUUCGGAGCCACACUCUUAUCAAGAGUGUUGGUCCGGAUCGGUCGGCCUUGCCUCUCAUUGUAAUAAACUUUGUUGUGACUGUCA
This is a long non-coding RNA of Neofelis nebulosa (Clouded leopard), 2419 nucleotides long. RefSeq lists it as uncharacterized. The record is from RefSeq and is a predicted model, not a curated record. The transcript is spliced from 2 exons. NCBI's taxonomy places the organism in Eukaryota, Metazoa, Chordata, Mammalia, Carnivora, Felidae.